AACAGGGAAGACAGGUAGAAGCUUUUCGCAGUCGUGCAUCAGUCAUCGCGUCGACAAAAUGUUUCCGCGAACCGUUCUGCUGCUUCUACUUUCUUGCGUUGCCAGCAGUCUGGCGUUGGAGCUCGUGGAGACCACGACCGAAGCCGGCAAAUUAACCUCGCUGUCCGAAGUGGAAAUUCUUCUAUCAAUAGCAGCGUGCGCGUUCGCUUCCAUCGCAGUUGUAAUCGUGCCAACGAUGCUUUAUUACAAAUUCUGCGGCGCACAAUUGCAACACGAAGACGACUCGCAAGACCGAAAACGUUUAUCGAUUUAAUUAUGCGAAACCGUCGAUCCGAUCGUAGAAGAAUCGCUUCUUCGUUGUAAGCUAAAAAAUGCUGAGAGCGUUGCGUUAUCGUUACGAUGUGAAUCUAGGCACUUUUAGAACACGAUUUUCAACCGAUUAGAAGCUUCGAGAAUGAUAAUAAAUAUAAAUGAGCUGUUUCAAGCGAAAAUGUUGCAAGCCAAUUUGUUUGCUAGGUUAAUUUAAUGUUAUUAAAUCACGUUUAAUUUAAUAUCUCAUUUGAUUUCUCGUUAUUAUUCGAAGUUAAAGCUUGAAAGUGGCUUACGUAAAACAGUUGCCACGAUUAUUUGCGUUAUCGCAUUUUACGAAACUUUUCAUUCAUCCUCUGUUAUCCACAAAUUAACUUUUUCAACUUACAUCGUUUCUGCUUUAAACGGCUCGAGUAUGAAAUUCUAUGAGAAUCUACGGUCGUCCGACUCCCGUAUUUAAUUUACAAUUAAUUUACCUCGACUGACAUUGAUAUUCGAUGAAUAAAGAAAUACGCUUUUUUAACGUGCAA
Molecule: long non-coding RNA, 839 nt
Organism: Megalopta genalis
Lineage: Eukaryota; Metazoa; Arthropoda; Insecta; Hymenoptera; Halictidae
Source: RefSeq, a predicted model, not a curated record